GACGAACGCUGGCGGCGUGCCUAAUACAUGCAAGUCGAGCGAAGUUUUUCUGGUGCUUGCACUAGAAAAACUUAGCGGCGAACGGGUGAGUAACACGUAAAGAACCUGCCUCAUAGACUGGGACAACUAUUGGAAACGAUAGCUAAUACCGGAUAACAGUAUUUCUCGCAUGAGAGAUAUUUAAAAGUUGGUUAUGCUAACACUAUGAGAUGGCUUUGCGGUGCAUUAGCUAGUUGGUGGGGUAAAGGCCUACCAAGGCGACGAUGCAUAGCCGACCUGAGAGGGUGAUCGGCCACACUGGGACUGAGACACGGCCCAGACUCCUACGGGAGGCAGCAGUAGGGAAUCUUCCGCAAUGGGCGAAAGCCUGACGGAGCAACGCCGCGUGAGUGAAGAAGGAUUUCGGUUCGUAAAGCUCUGUUGUUAGGGAAGAAUGGAUAUGUAGUAACUAUAC
Molecule: ribosomal RNA, 454 nt
Filed under: Gemella morbillorum
Lineage: Bacteria; Bacillati; Bacillota; Bacilli; Caryophanales; Gemellaceae
Description: bacterial SSU rRNA
Rfam family: Bacterial small subunit ribosomal RNA
Source: RNAcentral